This is a long non-coding RNA of Tachysurus fulvidraco (yellow catfish), 1239 nucleotides long. RefSeq lists it as uncharacterized. Lineage: Eukaryota; Metazoa; Chordata; Actinopteri; Siluriformes; Bagridae. The transcript is spliced from 2 exons. The record is from RefSeq and is a predicted model, not a curated record.
UGCCACGUUGUGUUGGUCUAUGACAUAAAAUCCUAAUAAAAUACAUUUUUGUUUGUGGUUGUAACGUGUCAAAAUGUGAAAAAGUUCAGUGGGUAUGAAUACUUUUGCAAGGCACUGUAUAUUAUAGGAAAAUCAAACUGAAGGUGAAAAGACUAGAUUCAUGGAUGAGUAUUUUUCCAUCAGUGAUUGUGUUAUUCCUUAAGAAUUACAGAUUUACAGUAUUACAUAAUUUCAUGUGAUGAAUACAUAUUUAACCCUAUAUAUGUAAAUAUCCCAUUCAUUUGUUUAAUAGAUUUUGCAGCAGACCAAGUUGAUUGUGGCUCAUUAAGCAGCUCAUAUGGAUUCCUUUAAUAUGUUCCUCUAUGUGUCAUGUGUUACCAUCAUCAUACCGACUCUAAUGUCUGUUCAGUUGAUAAAACACACAUUUAAUGUCUUCUGUUAUUAAAGAAUGAUAGAAUUUCAACAAGUUAUUUAACUUCUCAUAAUUUCUAGAAAACUGAAGUGAAAUUUGCUUAGCAGUAAUACACUGGAAAAGCAUUAAAAAAAGCUUCUGGGCUUGGCACUGUAGCACGGCCACAACACGGAAACUUGUCACAAGUUAACUGUUCAAUAAAAAACACAUGUACUGACUCAUGUUAAUUUAAACCAUGACAAUACGUGCACCACCGCAAACACACGAACGGAGGAAAGGCCGCUCUUCGUCCAGUGCAUCGGCAACCCUGAAGCGAGAGUGAGAGUGGAACAGCCGGCGGUUCAGCACUUUGGCCUACGGCGCUAACCGCGAACUCCCGAUCUCCAGCACCGUGGCCAGCACCGCGGCAAGUGAGAGCGAUGCGGAGCGGCCGAAACUCACGCUGAAAAUCACCGACCAUUUUAUUUAAUUCUGAUCAUUUUCUAUUACAGUUUUUUUUGUCAGUGCGUUAAUCAUUAAUAAAUAAAAUGUGUUAGUACUGGUAAAGAAAUCACUAGCAUUAAAGUUGAUAACUUCUUAAUACUGAGGUGUAAAUACUGUAAUGUUAAAUCCUCAUUAGGUGUGAAUACAUUAACUUAACAAUGUUAACAAUGACUGGUUUUAUUUUAUUUAAUGUCAUUGAAUUCCGCUAGUAUUUUCUUAUACUGUAGUAAUGGGCUUGUACAUGAUUUAUUCAUCUCACUGCUGAUCUUACUGAUGUUGUGUAUCCCACUAUUUCUGAUGUGAUACCCAAAGUGGCUGUUGGAGAAAUUAAAUCCAUGUCCUAC